Long non-coding RNA from Astatotilapia calliptera (eastern happy), 1060 nucleotides. Lineage: Eukaryota; Metazoa; Chordata; Actinopteri; Cichliformes; Cichlidae. The record is from Ensembl.
GUUGGUUUGUACUCUGACAUGCACUGUUAGCUAUGGGACGUUAGACUGGUGUGUGGCUUUCCAAAUCAUGUCUAGUCAACUGAAUUUACCACAGGUGGAUUCCAGUCAAGGUCUAGAAAUAUCUGACUGAGCAUCUGUGGAAAUGAAUGGGCUUGAGCUGAGCUGAGUAUAAAUGCAAAGGCUGUGAAUACAUAUGUACGUUUUAUCUUAGUUUUUUAAUUUUAAUACGUUUUCAAGAAUUUCAAGCAAACUUGUUUCACUUUGUUCUUUUGGUGUAUUGUGUAUAGAAUGUUUUGGUGAAAAAUAAGUUUAACCCUAUUUGGAAUAAGGCUGUAACAUGACAAAAAAACAAGUGAAGUGCUGUGAAUACUCUCUGGAUUCAAUGUACAUUAGUUUUGUGGUGGGAAUGUUUCUUGUGGUUGAGAAGAUCCAGUCUGUCACCAAUGUGGAUCCACUGGAGCUUAUUGUCCGUCUUGUUUUUUUUGUUUUUUUUGUUUUUUUUUUAUCUAUCUGUUCAAAUAACACUUACAGUAUACACCUACAGUAUAUACCAUCAGUAACAGCCAGCCUAAUUUCUACUCUGGGCAAUUUUGUAGUUUGAUGUAUUAUUGUGAUGGGCCAUAAUCCUUUCCUCAGUGUCCUGAGUUGUUACACAAUAACACAAAGUCUCUGUGCUAAAUCCUUCUCUUCCAAAUCUGCUGGUUUGUUUAAACAGCUUCCAUUUCACUUUCAAGUAGAUUAAACACUGUUUGUUUUUGGACAAGAGAGCCUCAGUUUUCCCACAGUAUUUCCUCCUGUGCUGCAGGUUCGAGACCAACUUUUAAGCUUUGCUCCUCUUUUCUUCUUUUCCUGAGUUUGUAUGUAAGAUGUUUAGCUAAGACUUAGGUGAGAUUAGAUGGAGUUUAAAGGAACUGAGUUUGGCGUCUUUGGCCUCCCGUUGGUUCCUGACUCUCCUUAAGUCCCAUGCCUCACUGGGCUCUAUCAUUUAACCUUUAUACUUUUUCAUUAUCAUGUCCAGAUCUUUAACUCUUCAAUCUGCCCUUCAACCCCAUCAAAUCCA